RNAcentral lists this ribosomal RNA (481 nucleotides) under uncultured bacterium. RNAcentral describes it as "bacterial SSU rRNA". It matches the Rfam family "Bacterial small subunit ribosomal RNA", at positions 38 to 507 of the family's 1533-position model. The record is from RNAcentral.
GGCGGCGUGCCUAACACAUGCAAGUCGAGCGGAGAUAUAUGGAAGGUUUACCGGAAAUAUAUCUUAGCGGCGGACGGGUGAGUAACGCGUGGGCAACCUGCCUCAUACAGGGGGAUAACACAGGGAAACUUGUGCUAAUACCGCAUGAAAUCAUAGUAUGGCAUCAUACAAUGAUCAAAGGAGCAAUCCGGUAUAAGAUGGACCCGCGUCCAAUUAGCUAGUUGGUGGGGUAAUGGCCUACCAAGGCGACGAUGGUUAGCUGGUCUGAGAGGAUGAUCAGCCACACUGGAACUGAGACACGGUCCAGACUCCUACGGGAGGCAGCAGUGAGGAAUCUUGCGCAAUGGGGGAAACCCUGACGCAGCAACGCCGCGUGAGUGAGGAAGGUCUUCGGGUCGUAAACCGCUGUUGUGGGAGACGAAUGACUGUCGAUGAGGCAGUGGAGACGGUAUCUCACGAGGAAGCCCCGGCUAACUACGUG